Molecule: ribosomal RNA, 338 nt
Filed under: uncultured Lysobacteraceae bacterium
Lineage: Bacteria; Pseudomonadati; Pseudomonadota; Gammaproteobacteria; Lysobacterales; Lysobacteraceae
Description: bacterial SSU rRNA
Rfam family: Bacterial small subunit ribosomal RNA
Source: RNAcentral
CAUGGUUGUCGUCAGCUCGUGUCGUGAGAUGUUGGGUUAAGUCCCGCAACGAGCGCAACCUCGUUCUAUGUUGCCAGCACGUGAUGGUGGGGACUCAUAGGAGACUGCCGGUGACAAACCGGAGGAAGGUGGGGAUGACGUCAAGUCAUCAUGGCCCUUACGGCCUGGGCUACACACGUGCUACAAUGGUCGGUACAAAGGGUAGCGACACUGCGAGGUGAAGCCAAUCCCGUAAAAUCGGUCUCAGUCCGGAUUGGAGUCUGCAACUCGACUCCAUGAAGUUGGGAUCGCUAGUAAUCGUGGAUCAGCAUGCCACGGUGAAUACGUUCCCGGGCCUU